RNAcentral lists this ribosomal RNA (253 nucleotides) under uncultured bacterium. Its description in RNAcentral is "partial 16S ribosomal RNA". It matches the Rfam family "Bacterial small subunit ribosomal RNA", at positions 524 to 776 of the family's 1533-position model. The record is from RNAcentral.
GACGGAGGGCGCAAGCGUUGUUCGGAAUUACUGGGCGUAAAGCGCGGGCAGGCGGUCUGCUAAGUCGUUUGUGAAAAUCCGGGGCUCAACCCCGGAAAUGCGUACGAUACUGGCAGGCUGGAGACUGGUAGAGGCUAGCGGAAUUCCUGGUGUAGCGGUGGAAUGCGUAGAUAUCAGGAAGAACACCUGUGGCGAAGGCGGCUAGCUGGGCCAGUUCUGACGCUGAUCCGCGAAAGCGUGGGGAGCAAACAGG